UCCGGUAUAGUAUAACGGCCAUUAUAUCGCGUUUUCAUCAAAAACGAUUUCCCAUUCGGGGAGAUUCGUCCAGAUAUUUCCGCGAAGACCGGGGUUCGAUUCCCCGUACCGGAG
Molecule: transfer RNA, 114 nt
Filed under: Hapsidospora chrysogenum ATCC 11550
Lineage: Eukaryota; Fungi; Ascomycota; Sordariomycetes; Hypocreales; Bionectriaceae
Description: Acremonium chrysogenum ATCC 11550 tRNA-Glu
Rfam family: tRNA
About the family: Transfer RNA (tRNA) molecules are approximately 80 nucleotides in length. Their secondary structure includes four short double-helical elements and three loops (D, anti-codon, and T loops). Further hydrogen bonds mediate the characteristic L-shaped molecular structure. tRNAs have two regions of fundamental functional importance: the anti-codon, which is responsible for specific mRNA codon recognition, and the 3' end, to which the tRNAs corresponding amino acid is attached (by aminoacyl-tRNA synthetases). tRNAs cope with the degeneracy of the genetic code in two manners: having more than one tRNA (with a specific anti-codon) for a particular amino acid; and 'wobble' base-pairing, i.e. permitting non-standard base-pairing at the 3rd anti-codon position.
Source: RNAcentral